GUUAAGCGACUAAGCGUACACGGUGGAUGCCCUGGCAGUCAGAGGCGAUGAAGGACGUGCUAAUCUGCGAUAAGCGUCGGUAAGGUGAUAUGAACCGUUAUAACCGGCGAUUUCCGAAUGGGGAAACCCAGUGUGUUUCGACACACUAUCAUUAACUGAAUCCAUAGGUUAAUGAGGCGAACCGGGGGAACUGAAACAUCUAAGUACCCCGAGGAAAAGAAAUCAACCGAGAUUCCCCCAGUAGCGGCGAGCGAACGGGGAGCAGCCCAGAGCCUGAAUCAGUGUGUGUGUUAGUGGAAGCGUCUGGAAAGGCGCGCGAUACAGGGUGACAGCCCCGUACACAAAAAUGCACAUGCUGUGAGCUCGAUGAGUAGGGCGGGACACGUGGUAUCCUGUCUGAAUAUGGGGGGACCAUCCUCCAAGGCUAAAUACUCCUGACUGACCGAUAGUGAACCAGUACCGUGAGGGAAAGGCGAAAAGAACCCCGGCGAGGGGAGUGAAAAAGAACCUGAAACCGUGUACGUACAAGCAGUGGGAGCACGCUUAGGCGUGUGACUGCGUACCUUUUGUAUAAUGGGUCAGCGACUUAUAUUCUGUAGCAAGGUUAACCGAAUAGGGGAGCCGAAGGGAAACCGAGUCUUAACUGGGCGUUAAGUUGCAGGGUAUAGACCCGAAACCCGGUGAUCUAGCCAUGGGCAGGUUGAAGGUUGGGUAACACUAACUGGAGGACCGAACCGACUAAUGUUGAAAAAU
This 753-nucleotide ribosomal RNA is filed under the name Escherichia coli. Its description in RNAcentral is "partial 23S ribosomal RNA". It matches the Rfam family "Bacterial large subunit ribosomal RNA", at positions 1 to 797 of the family's 2925-position model. Lineage: Bacteria; Pseudomonadati; Pseudomonadota; Gammaproteobacteria; Enterobacterales; Enterobacteriaceae. The record is from RNAcentral.